Molecule: ribosomal RNA, 308 nt
Filed under: Escherichia coli
Lineage: Bacteria; Pseudomonadati; Pseudomonadota; Gammaproteobacteria; Enterobacterales; Enterobacteriaceae
Description: bacterial LSU rRNA
Rfam family: Bacterial large subunit ribosomal RNA
Source: RNAcentral
AACUGAAACAUCUAAGUACCUGCAGGAAGAGAAAGAAAAUUCGAUUCCCUGAGUAGCGGCGAGCGAAACGGGAAAAGCCCAAACCAACAAGCUUGCUUGUUGGGGUUGUAGGACUCCGAUAUGGUAGUCUAUUCAGAUAGUCGAAAUACUUGGAAAAGUAUGUCAAAGAGGGUAAAAACCCCGUAGACGAAAUUUGGAUAACACCUAGGAGGAUCCUGAGUACGGCGGAACACGAGGAAUUCCGUCGGAAUCCGGGAGGACCAUCUCCCAAGGCUAAAUACUCCCUAGUGACCGAUAGUGAACCAGUA